UACGUAGGGUCCGAGCGUUGUCCGGAAUUAUUGGGCGUAAAGAGCUCGUAGGUGGUUUGUCGCGUUGUUCGUGAAAACUCACAGCUCAACUGUGGGCGUGCGGGCGAUACGGGCAGACUGGAGUACUGCAGGGGAGACUGGAAUUCCUGGUGUAGCGGUGGAAUGCGCAGAUAUCAGGAGGAACACCGGUGGCGAAGGCGGGUCUCUGGGCAGUAACUGACGCUGAGGAGCGAAAGCGUGGGGAGCGAACAGG
Molecule: ribosomal RNA, 253 nt
Filed under: uncultured bacterium
Lineage: Bacteria
Description: partial 16S ribosomal RNA
Rfam family: Bacterial small subunit ribosomal RNA
Source: RNAcentral